GUGAGGAAUAUUGCGCAAUGGAGGCAACUCUGACGCAGCCAUGCCGCGUGCAGGAAGAAGGCGCUACGCGUUGUAAACUGCUUUUAACCGGGAAGAAACCCCAGGACGUGUCCUGGGUUGACGGUACCGGAGGAAUAAGCACCGGCUAACUUCGUGCCAGCAGCCGCGGUAAUACGAAGGGUGCAAGCGUUAUCCGGAUUCAUUGGGCUUAAAGGGUGCGUAGGCGGAGCGUUAAGUCAGUGGUGAAAUCCUGCAGCUUAACUGUAGACUUGCCAUUGAGACUGGCGCUCUUGAGUGCGCUUGAAGUGGUCGGAAUGUGCCGUGUAGCGGUGAAAUGCUUAGAUAUGGCACAGAACACCAAUUGCGAAGGCAGCUCACUAAGGCGAUACUGACGCUGAGGCACGAAAGCGUGGGGAUCGAACAGGAUUAGAUACCCGUGUAGUCC
This 445-nucleotide ribosomal RNA is filed under the name uncultured bacterium. Its description in RNAcentral is "partial 16S ribosomal RNA". It matches the Rfam family "Bacterial small subunit ribosomal RNA", at positions 354 to 796 of the family's 1533-position model. The record is from RNAcentral.